UACGGAGGGUGCAAGCGUUAUCCGGAUUUACUGGGCUUAAAGGGCGCGUAGGUGGUCGAGCAAGUCAGUGGUGAAAUCUCCGGGCUUAACCCGGAAACUGCCAUUGAUACUAUUUAUCUUGAAUUCUGUUGAGGUGGGCGGAAUACAUCAUGUAGCGGUGAAAUGCUUAGAUAUGAUGUAGAACACCGAUUGCGAAGGCAGCUCACUAACCAGACAUUGACGCUGAGGCACGAAAGCGUGGGGAUCAAACAGG
This 253-nucleotide ribosomal RNA is filed under the name uncultured bacterium. RNAcentral describes it as "partial 16S ribosomal RNA". It matches the Rfam family "Bacterial small subunit ribosomal RNA", at positions 524 to 776 of the family's 1533-position model. The record is from RNAcentral.